UACUCAGUUCAGAUUGCAGGCUGCAACCCGCCUGCAUGAAGUCGGAAUUGCUAGUAAUCGCGGAUCAGCAUGCCGCGGUGAAUGCGUUCCCGGGCCUUGUACACACCGCCCGUCACACCACCCGAGUCGUCUGCACCCGAAGUCGCCGGCCUAACCUCGUGAGGGAGGCGCCGAAGGUGUGGAGGGGUAAGGGGGGGUGAAGUCGUAACAAGGUAAC
This 217-nucleotide ribosomal RNA is filed under the name uncultured bacterium. RNAcentral describes it as "partial 16S ribosomal RNA". It matches the Rfam family "Bacterial small subunit ribosomal RNA", at positions 1285 to 1500 of the family's 1533-position model. The record is from RNAcentral.